Molecule: unclassified non-coding RNA, 561 nt
Filed under: Bombus terrestris (buff-tailed bumblebee)
Lineage: Eukaryota; Metazoa; Arthropoda; Insecta; Hymenoptera; Apidae
Description: misc RNA ENSBTSG00005036048.1
Source: RNAcentral
AUUACCUGCUACAAUAGAUCAGUUUAUAGAGUCGUCGAAAGGUUCGAUCGAUUUCGACGUGUACACCUGCAGUACGUGCUCCCUGAUCAUCGUUGUUGUAUUUGGAGAAUACAGAAUAUACUGUGUCAGUUUUACACAGAGUACGGGAUACCGCGUCAUCCGGUGCUUAAUUAGAUAGCACGAUGAAGCGUGAAUCGCUCGUAACUGGAAGUUCAAUAACAAGAUACAAGGCGAAAGUAAGACGAAACAAAGCGGAGAAAAGGAUAAGAUGGCCGAGAUAAUGGAUUAUCGUUAUGGAUGGUUUUUUGAAUUCUUCGAGCAGGCACUGCUGGAACAAAUCAGUUACAAGCGCAAUGGAAAACUUUCGAUUCUUGAUUUUUUGAUUGAAGCGUUUCUGAUUCGUUAGAUGACACGAUGACACGAAUACAAAAAAAUCCACCAUGGUUUUAACCGAGUAAGCUGUACGGUCAUUUUAGUUAUUUUGGUUUCCCUCGUGUCUGUCAGUUCCAUGGAAUUUUUAUGGAAAUAGACAGUGACUCUGUGAAAUAAAUCAAAUCUAUC